GCCGCGAAAACUUUACAAUGCGGGAAACCGUGAUAAGGGAAUCUCGAGUGCCAGCAUAUAAUGUUGGCUGUCCAGAUGCCUAAAAAGCAUCUGUUAGCAAGGGCCGGGCAAGACCGGUGCCAGCCGCCGCGGUAACACCGGCGGCCCGAGUGGUAACCGCUUUUAUUGGGUCUAAAGGGUCUGUAGCCGGCCAAGUAAGUCCCUUGGGAAAUCUGGCAGCUUAACUGUCAGGCUGCUAGGGGAUACUGCUAGGCUUGGGACCGGGAGAGGUGAGAGGUACCUUGGGGGUAGGGGUGAAAUCUUGUGAUCCUCGGGGGACCACCAGUGGCGAAGGCGUCUCACCAGAACGGGUCCGACGGUAAGGGACGAAAGCUAGGGGCACGAACCG
Molecule: ribosomal RNA, 388 nt
Filed under: uncultured bacterium
Lineage: Bacteria
Description: bacterial SSU rRNA
Rfam family: Archaeal small subunit ribosomal RNA
Source: RNAcentral